Molecule: signal recognition particle RNA, 99 nt
Filed under: Planctomycetes bacterium GWC2_45_44
Lineage: Bacteria; Pseudomonadati; Planctomycetota
Also listed under: 2 other names
Description: signal recognition particle sRNA small type
Rfam family: Bacterial small signal recognition particle RNA
About the family: The signal recognition particle (SRP) is a universally conserved ribonucleoprotein involved in the co-translational targeting of proteins to membranes. Archaeal SRP consists of a 7S RNA and homologues of the eukaryotic SRP19 and SRP54 proteins.
Source: RNAcentral
CGGCCGGGCCCGGGCAAGCAGCAUUCGCGAACCUGGUCAGGCGGGGAACCGAGCAGCCAUAAGCAUUUAUGCGGCUGUGCACGGCAAACCCGGCCGCCU